AGGGAUGUCGAGAUUUUUUUUUCUUCCAGCUCGCAGGUGCUGCAGAGGAAAAAGAAAGAAGAAGGAUUCAGCGACGAUCUUUGAGGGACGCUGCAAACCCCUUUGAUAUGCCGGACGAAGAGUUCCGUCAUAUAUACAGAGUACGAAAGGAGUUAGUGUUAUAUAUUUGUGAAGAACUCAACGCCGACCUCCAGCCUCACAAGGGUGAUGGAUUGCCAUCUCACCUUAAGGUUCUAACAGCAUUACAUCUGCUGGCUGAUGGCAAUUAUCAACACGGGACUGGUCAGGAUCAUGGUUUAUCUAUUGGUCAGACGACUGUAAGCCAGUAUCUCGAACAAUUUGUAGAUGCUGUGAACAGAAGACUUAAAGACCAAUGGAUAGUUUUUCCUGGAACUGAUAGGUCCCGACGAUCAGUUGCCUCAGUAUUUGAGGACGCAUAUGGUCUGCCAAAUAUCUUGGGUGCAGUAGACUGCACUCAAGUGAAAAUAUUUCCCACCUGUGCCACACGGAGUGCAAUAUCUGAAUCGGAAAGGCGUUCACGCUCUUAAUGUACAGCUAAUUGCAGAUGUCAACUGUAAGAUCUUGGCAGUAAACACGAGGUUUCCUGGCCGUGUGCACGACUCUUUCAUAUUUAACAAUUCGUCCAUUAAGGAUGAAUUAAGAAGAUUGUACAAUGGCCACAUUGGGGAGUAUUUCCUUCUGGGUAAGCAGAAAAUUGUGUAUCUGUACCUAGUGUAAAUUUAUUCGAUGGGGAGACGUGACGUACGCGUUUGCGUUAACUGUCAUUUUGUAUGGAAUUUUGAGUUUCCAAAACAUCCCGCUUGGCGCGCUGUUUCUAAAUCCCUUAGCACCACUUGCACCAUUUCACUAACUCGGGGUUAACUGGUUAACCCUGGAGUUACCAUGUUACCAGUACAAUUUCACAUUGGGUUAACGGUUUAACCGGUUAACCCCGGGUUAUUGGAUGGGGCAAGUGCAUGUUAGUAAAUGUACUUAGAUCACGACCACAGAAUUGAACUAUUGUUCAUGACUAAGUUAAUAUACCUAUCAUAAUGUAAAUAACCGGCCAAGAGCAUGUCGGGCCACGCUCAGUGUAGGGUUCCGUAGUUACUCUUCCGUCACUAUAAGCUAAACUGGAGCUUAAAGUGUAGUAAAUGGUACCUUUCACCCGAGUUAAACAAAUAGGCAAAUUUGCAUAAUCAGUACCUAAUUAAAGUAAGUCUUUUUACUAUGAAGGGAAAACUUUUUGCGAUAACUCAAAAACAGCUAAACUGAUCAUGUCCCCUAUAGUUUUCAUUUAAUGUCUUUCUUAAGCUCUACUUCCACGAUUUUUUUCAUAUUUUUUGGACCUAUGGUUCAAAAGUUAGAGGGGGGGACACAUUUUUUUUUUCUUUCGGAGCGGUUAUCUCCGAAUAUAUUCACUUUAUCAAAAAAUGUUUCUUGAAAACACCUAUUAGUUUUGAAAGACCUUUCCAACGAUAUCCCACACUCUAGGGUUGAAGCGAAAAAAAAAAAUUCACCCCCACUUUACGUGUAAUCUAAAAAAAAAAUUUUUAGAUUUUAUUGUACGACUUUGUCGGCUUUAUUGAUUUAUAUAUCCAUGCCAAAUUUCAGCUUUCUAGCACUAACGACCACGGAGCAAAGCCUCGGACAGACAGACA
Molecule: RNA transcript, 1661 nt
Organism: Cydia pomonella (codling moth)
Lineage: Eukaryota; Metazoa; Arthropoda; Insecta; Lepidoptera; Tortricidae
Exons: 4
Source: RefSeq, a predicted model, not a curated record